Molecule: ribosomal RNA, 1329 nt
Filed under: metagenome
Description: bacterial SSU rRNA
Rfam family: Bacterial small subunit ribosomal RNA
Source: RNAcentral
AGAGUUUGAUCCUGGCUCAGGAUGAACGCUGGCGGCGUGCUUAACACAUGCAAGUCGAACGAGCCUUCGGGCUAGUGGCGGACGGGUGAGUAACGCGUGAGAAUCUGCCCUCAGGAGGGGGAUAACGGCUGGAAACGGCCGCUAAUACCCCAUAUGCCGCGAGGUGAAAUGAGAAAUCGCCUGAGGAUGAGCUCGCGUCUGAUUAGCUAGUUGGUGGGGUAAGAGCCUACCAAGGCAUCGAUCAGUAGCUGGUCUGAGAGGAUGAUCAGCCACACUGGGACUGAGACACGGCCCAGACUCCUACGGGAGGCAGCAGUGGGGAAUUUUCCGCAAUGGGCGCAAGCCUGACGGAGCAACGCCGCGUGAGGGAUGAAGGCCUCUGGGCUGUAAACCUCUUUUCUCAAGGAAGAAGAACUGACGGUACUUGAGGAAUAAGCCACGGCUAAUUCCGUGCCAGCAGCCGCGGUAUACGGGAGUGGCAAGCGUUAUCCGGAAUUAUUGGGCGUAAAGCGUCCGCAGGCGGUCUUGAAAGUCUGUUGUUAAAGCGUGUAGCUCAACUCCAUUUCAGCAAUGGAAACUAGAAGACUAGAGUGUGGUAGGGGCAGAGGGAAUUCCCGGUGUAGCGGUGAAAUGCUAGAUAUCGGGAAGAACACCAGUGGCGAAGGCGCUCUGCUGGGCCAUAACUGACGCUCAUGGACGAAAGCCAGGGGAGCGAAAGGGAUUAGAUACCCCUGUAGUCCUGGCCGUAAACGAUGAACACUAGGUGUCGGGGGAAUCGACCCCCUCGGUGUCGUAGCCAACGCGUUAAGUGUUCCGCCUGGGGAGUACGCACGCAAGUGUGAAACUCAAAGGAAUUGACGGGGGCCCGCACAAGCGGUGGAGUAUGUGGUUUAAUUCGAUGCAACGCGAAGAACCUUACCAGGGUUUGACAUCCUGCGAAUCUUUUGGAAACAGAAGAGUGCCUUCGGGAGCGCGGAGACAGGUGGUGCAUGGCUGUCGUCAGCUCGUGUCGUGAGAUGUUGGGUUAAGUCCCGCAACGAGCGCAACCCACGUCUUUAGUUGCCAGCAUUAAGUUGGGCACUCUAGAUAGACCGCCGGUGAUAAACCGGAGGAAGGUGUGGAUGACGUCAAGUCAUCAUGCCCCUUACAUCCUGGGCUACACACGUACUACAAUGCUACGGACAGAGGGCAGCAAACUCGCGAGAGCUAGCAAAUCCCAUAAACCGUGGCUCAGUUCAGAUCGUAGGCUGCAACUCGCCUACGUGAAGGAGAAAUCGCUAGUAAUCGCAGGUCAGCAUACUGCGGUGAAUACGUUCCCGGGCCUUGUAC